AAAGGAGAAAUCUGCCCGCUGAUUGAUUAACUGGAACUUGAGAGAAGUGUUUCCCGUUUUUGCAUAAUCCGGAUUGGAGAAAUUUGCAAAGUUAUACUUUAUUGGGGCUGUACAAAUAUAUGGAGGCUGUUGUUUACCAUCAUUUUCCAAAUAACAUGUAGAUCCAUUGAAUUUUGCUGGAGAGAAAACUCCAACCCAGUCAUCAUGUGAUGGGUUGGGGUUGUCAAGAUGUAGAGUUACCCAUUCAGUGUCACCACCCUUGGGAGCAAGAAUAAAUGGAUAAGCUUUAAUGGUGAGUGAUGCAUCAAGUGCAACAGUAGCUUUGUGGAUUGCAAUGUUUGAUAAAGGCUGCUCUCCACUAUGACCUGAAGCAACACCCAAUAACACCAAAAAACAUACAACAAACUUCUUCAUUUUGGCAAAAGUUGCCGCCUUAGUGCUUCUG
This 445-nucleotide unclassified non-coding RNA is filed under the name Hevea brasiliensis (rubber tree). Lineage: Eukaryota; Viridiplantae; Streptophyta; Magnoliopsida; Malpighiales; Euphorbiaceae. The record is from RNAcentral.